RNAcentral lists this ribosomal RNA (380 nucleotides) under uncultured bacterium. RNAcentral's name for it is "bacterial SSU rRNA". It matches the Rfam family "Bacterial small subunit ribosomal RNA", at positions 30 to 413 of the family's 1533-position model. The record is from RNAcentral.
AUUGAACGCUGGCGGAAUGCUUUACACAUGCAAGUCGAACGGUAGAGGGGGCAACCCCUUGAGAGUGGCGAACGGGUGAGUAAUAUAUCGGAACGUGCCCAGUCGUGGGGGAGUAACGUAGCGAAAGUUACGCUAAUACCGCAUACGAUCUAAGGAUGAAAGCGGGGGAUCGCAAGACCUCGCGCGAUUGGAGCGGCCGAUAUCAGAUUAGGUAGUUGGUGAGGUAAAGGCUCACCAAGCCAACGAUCUGUAGCUGGUCUGAGAGGACGACCAGCCACACUGGAACUGAGACACGGUCCAGACUCCUACGGGAGGCAGCAGUGGGGAAUUUUGGACAAUGGACGCAAGUCUGAUCCAGCAAUGCCGCGUGCAGGAAGAAA